AGUGAACGCUGGCGGUAGGCCUAACACAUGCCAGUCGAACGGCAGCACAGUAAGAGCUUGCUCUUACGGGUGGCGAGUGGCGGACGGGUGAGGAAUACAUCGGAAUCUACUUUUUCGUGGGGGAUAACGUAGGGAAACUUACGCUAAUACCGCAUACGACCUACGGGUGAAAGCAGGGGAUCUUCGGACCUUGCGCGAUUGAAUGAGCCGAUGUCGGAUUAGCUAGUUGGCGGGGUAAAGGCCCACCAAGGCGACGAUCCGUAGCUGGACUGAGAGGAUGAUCAGCCACACUGGAAAUGAGACACGGUCCAGAAUCCUACGGGAGGCAGCAGUGGGGAAUAUUGGACAAUGGGCGGAAGCCUGAUCCAGCCAUACCGCGUGGGUGAAGAAGGCCUUCGGGUUGUAAAGCCCUUUUGUUGGGAAAGAAAAGCAGCAGGUUAAUACCCCGCUGUUCUGACGGUACCCAAAGAAUAAGCACCGGCUAACUUCGUG
RNAcentral lists this ribosomal RNA (492 nucleotides) under uncultured bacterium. RNAcentral describes it as "partial 16S ribosomal RNA". It matches the Rfam family "Bacterial small subunit ribosomal RNA", at positions 29 to 507 of the family's 1533-position model. The record is from RNAcentral.